This 65-nucleotide transfer RNA is filed under the name Dipodomys ordii (Ord's kangaroo rat). It matches the Rfam family "tRNA". From Rfam's summary of the family: Transfer RNA (tRNA) molecules are approximately 80 nucleotides in length. Their secondary structure includes four short double-helical elements and three loops (D, anti-codon, and T loops). Lineage: Eukaryota; Metazoa; Chordata; Mammalia; Rodentia; Heteromyidae. The record is from Rfam by way of RNAcentral.
GGUGGCUCAGUGGUUGAGCGCUUGCCUUGCAUGUAUGAGGCUCUGGGUUCGAUUCCUCAGCACCA